UGAUAUUGCCUAAUUAUAUUCAUCAAUUAUUACCAUCAGUCUAAAAAUCUGAAUAAAUACACAAGUUUUCCACCCAAUUUCUAAAUAUGUCCACAACAUUUUUCCAUUUCAUGAGUCUCCAAUACACAAAAAUAUUGAGAUCGAACAGCUGCUCAUGCGAUCCAAAAUCGACAUUCGCCUCAACCUAUGCCCUCACCAAUGGAGGAAAAAUUGCAAAUACAACAACCACUCGAAAAUCACUC
Molecule: long non-coding RNA, 242 nt
Filed under: Vitis vinifera (wine grape)
Lineage: Eukaryota; Viridiplantae; Streptophyta; Magnoliopsida; Vitales; Vitaceae
Description: long non-coding RNA (VVIN_LNC005117)
Source: RNAcentral